GUGGUCGUAGCUCAAUGGUAGAGCGCUGCCCUGUGGAGGCAGAUGUUGCGGGUUCAAAUCCCGUCGAUCACCCCA
This 75-nucleotide transfer RNA is filed under the name Candidatus Daviesbacteria bacterium RIFCSPHIGHO2_01_FULL_43_17. Its description in RNAcentral is "tRNA-His". It matches the Rfam family "tRNA". Rfam says of the family: Transfer RNA (tRNA) molecules are approximately 80 nucleotides in length. Their secondary structure includes four short double-helical elements and three loops (D, anti-codon, and T loops). The record is from RNAcentral. Lineage: Bacteria; Candidatus Daviesiibacteriota. RNAcentral also lists the same sequence under 3 other names.